Molecule: long non-coding RNA, 1082 nt
Filed under: Marmota monax (woodchuck)
Lineage: Eukaryota; Metazoa; Chordata; Mammalia; Rodentia; Sciuridae
Source: RNAcentral
CUUCCAGAAAGAAAGAAAGGUGCAUCUCUGAAAGAAGUGGGGUGAGGAGGAGCUUAUCCUGGUGAUAAUCCCUGCAGGGGGCCGAUCUGGAACCAGAAAAUCAGGAUCAAGUCCUGUUCCUCCCAGUGUUGAAGAUUAACACCCAAGAAACACUAAGGCAAGAGUAAAAAGUUUUAUUUAAAGGAUAGAACACCCCCCCCACACACACACACACACACAUGGGAGCGGGGGUGGGGGGGAGAGAGAGAGAGAGACAGAUAUUGAGUUCUCUGGAGAGGAGGGGAUUCAGAGCUGGUAUUCAAGGGAGUGGGGAUGUCUUGCACCUUUAAUAGAUUUCAGAUUUUUCUUUCUUGUCAAAUCCCUCUACUUCCAUCCUGCCUAUGUGGCCAAAAGGUGGGAAGGGAGCUGUCCAGCGGGUACACCCUAACUGUUUUACAUAUGUCAGGAAGGGAACAACUGAGCGGGUACUCAUUAACUCCUUUCUGGGAUAAACAAUUCCCUGGAUGCAGGUAACUUUGGCAACAGGAUGGAGGAGGGGGAAGUUCUCUGGAGAUAUUCGCAUUUUAUUUCCUUUUGAAAGAGUCUCCAUCCUUCUGACCCAAUCCUUCUUUAUCUACACUGACUGUCCUUUUGCCCUGGUCUCAAUGCCACCAUCCCUGAUCUAUCUUUCAUCAUUUAAUUUUCCUUGGCCAGGCACAGUGGUGGCACAUCCCUCUAAAGCCACAGGCUUGGGAGGCUGAGGCAGGAGGAUUGGAAGUUGAAAGCCAGCUUCAGCAAUGUUUUGAGACCCUGUCUCAAAAUACAAAGGGCUGGAGAUGUAGCUCAGUGCCCCUGGGUCCAAUUCCCAUCCAGAAAAAGGGGGUCACUACGUAUGGGCUUUAGACAACUGUGCAGUUGCUGCAUCUCAGCAGAGAGUUUUCAGUCGGUGGUGGCAGUUCUAGAGUGAAAUUGAUGUCACCUGGAUCACAGGUUUCUAUACCAGAAGUAUAUGGCCAUUUUCAGCUCCAGUUGGGAUGGGAAGAUGAUUUCUGUCCCUCACCAAGUCUUAUGGUGGGAAGAAUCUGCCAAACACAGAGUUUUAG